AGCAGCGUGGCUCAGUGGAAAGAGCCCGGGCUUUGGAGUCUGUGAUCACGGGUUUGAAUCCCGGCUCUGCCA
This is a non-coding RNA of Ornithorhynchus anatinus (platypus), 72 nucleotides long. Lineage: Eukaryota; Metazoa; Chordata; Mammalia; Monotremata; Ornithorhynchidae. The record is from Rfam.